AUUGAACGCUGGCGGCAGGCCUAACACAUGCAAGUCGAACGAGUGGCGGACGGGAGAGUAAUGUCUGGGAAACUGCCUGAUGGAGGGGGAUAACUACUGGAAACGGUAGCUAAUACCGCAUACCAUCGGAUGUGCCCAGAGGGGAUUAGCUAGUAGGUGGGGUAAAGGCUCACCUAGGCGACGAUCCCUAGCUGGUCGGAGAGCAUGACCAGCCACACUGGAAUUGAGCCAUGGUCCAGACUCCUACGGGAGGCAGCAGUGGGGAAUAUUGCACAAUGGGCGCAAGCCUGAUGCAGCCAUGCCGCGUGUAUGAAGAAGGCGUUCGGGUUGGAAAGUACUUUCAGCGGAGAGGCGUUACCCGCAGAAGAAGCACCGGCUAACUCCGUGCCAGCAGCCGCGGUAAUUC
Molecule: ribosomal RNA, 406 nt
Filed under: uncultured bacterium
Lineage: Bacteria
Description: partial 16S ribosomal RNA
Rfam family: Bacterial small subunit ribosomal RNA
Source: RNAcentral